This 425-nucleotide ribosomal RNA is filed under the name uncultured bacterium. Its description in RNAcentral is "bacterial SSU rRNA". It matches the Rfam family "Bacterial small subunit ribosomal RNA", at positions 351 to 782 of the family's 1533-position model. The record is from RNAcentral.
GCAGUGGGGAAUAUUGCACAAUGGGCGAAAGCCUGAUGCAGCAACGCCGCGUGAGGGACGACGGCCUUCGGGUUGUAAACCUCUUUUAGUUGGGAAGAAGGGAGCUUGCUCUUGACGGUACCAGCAGAAAAAGCACCGGCUAACUACGUGCCAGCAGCCGCGGUAAUACGUAGGGUGCAAGCGUUGUCCGGAAUUAUUGGGCGUAAAGAGCUCGUAGGCGGUUUGUCGCGUCUGCUGUGAAAUCUGGGGGCUCAACCCCCAGCCUGCAGUGGGUACGGGCAGACUAGAGUGCGGUAGGGGAGAUUGGAAUUCCUGGUGUAGCGGUGGAAUGCGCAGAUAUCAGGAGGAACACCGAUGGCGAAGGCAGAUCUCUGGGCCGUAACUGACGCUGAGGAGCGAAAGCAUGGGGAGCGAACAGGAUUAGA